GACGAACGCUGGCGGCGUGCUUAACACAUGCAAGUCGAACGGAAAGGCCCUGCUUUUGUGGGGUGCUCGAGUGGCGAACGGGUGAGUAACACGUGAGUAACCUGCCCUUGACUUUGGGAUAACUUCAGGAAACUGGGGCUAAUACCGGAUAGGAGCUCCUGCUGCAUGGUGGGGGUUGGAAAGUUUCGGCGGUUGGGGAUGGACUCGCGGCUUAUCAGCUUGUUGGUGGGGUAGUGGCUUACCAAGGCUUUGACGGGUAGCCGGCCUGAGAGGGUGACCGGCCACAUGGGGACUGAGAUACGGCCCAGACUCCUACGGGAGGCAGCAGUGGGGAAUAUUGAACAAUGGCGGAAGCCUGAUGCAGCAACGCCGCGUGCGGGAUGACGGCCUUCGGGUUGUAAACCGCUUUCGCCUGUGACGAAGCGUGAGUGACGGUAAUGGGUAAAGAAGCACCGGCUAACUACGUG
This 467-nucleotide ribosomal RNA is filed under the name uncultured bacterium. RNAcentral describes it as "partial 16S ribosomal RNA". It matches the Rfam family "Bacterial small subunit ribosomal RNA", at positions 28 to 507 of the family's 1533-position model. The record is from RNAcentral.